AUUGAACGCUGGCGGCAGGCCUAACACAUGCAAGUCGAACGGUAACAGGAAGAAGCUUGCUUCUUUGCUGACGAGUGGCGGACGGGUGAGUAAUGUCUGGGAAACUGCCUGAUGGAGGGGGAUAACUACUGGAAACGGUAGCUAAUACCGCAUAAUGUCGCAAGACCAAAGAGGGGGACCUUCGGGCCUCUUGCCAUCGGAUGUGCCCAGAUGGGAUUAGCUAGUAGGUGGGGUAACGGCUCACCUAGGCGACGAUCCCUAGCUGGUCUGAGAGGAUGACCAGCCACACUGGAACUGAGACACGGUCCAGACUCCUACGGGAGGCAGCAGUGGGGAAUAUUGCACAAUGGGCGCAAGCCUGAUGCAGCUAUGCCGCGUGUAUGAAGAAGGCCUUCGGGUUGUAAAGUACUUUCAGCGGGGAGGAAGGGAGUAAAGUUAAUAACUUUGCUCAUUGACGUUACCCGCAGAAGAAGCACCGGCUAACUCCGUG
Molecule: ribosomal RNA, 490 nt
Filed under: uncultured bacterium
Lineage: Bacteria
Description: partial 16S ribosomal RNA
Rfam family: Bacterial small subunit ribosomal RNA
Source: RNAcentral